CCUACGGGGGGCAGCAGUGGGGAAUAUUGGACAAUGGGGGGAACCCUGAUCCAGCCAUGCCGCGUGUGUGAAGAAGGCCCUCGGGUUGUAAAGCACUUUCAGUGAGGAAGAACGCCUGGUGGUUAAUACCCAUCAGGAAAGACAUCACUCACAGAAGAAGCACCGGCUAACUCCGUGCCAGCAGCCGCGGUAAUACGGAGGGUGCGAGCGUUAAUCGGAAUUACUGGGCGUAAAGCGCGCGUAGGUGGCUUGAUAAGCCGGUUGUGAAAGCCCCGGGCUCAACCUGGGAACGGCAUCCGGAACUGUCAAGCUAGAGUGCAGGAGAGGAAGGUAGAAUUCCCGGUGUAGCGGUGAAAUGCGUAGAGAUCGGGAGGAAUACCAGUGGCGAAGGCGGCCUUCUGGACUGACACUGACACUGAGGUGCGAAAGCGUGGGUAGCAAACAGGAUUAGAUACCCCUGUAGUC
RNAcentral lists this ribosomal RNA (465 nucleotides) under Vreelandella stevensii. Its description in RNAcentral is "partial 16S ribosomal RNA". It matches the Rfam family "Bacterial small subunit ribosomal RNA", at positions 338 to 795 of the family's 1533-position model. The record is from RNAcentral. Lineage: Bacteria; Pseudomonadati; Pseudomonadota; Gammaproteobacteria; Oceanospirillales; Halomonadaceae.